AACACAUGCAAGUCGAACGGAACUUCUUUGACAGAAUUCUUCGGAAGGAAGUUGAUUGAGUUUAGUGGCGGACGGGUGAGUAACGCGUGAGUAACCUGCCUUUGAGAGGGGAAUAACUUCCCGAAAGGGAUGCUAAUACCGCAUGAAGCAUAUUUAUCGCAUGGUAGAUAUGCCAAAGAUUUAUCGCUCAAAGAUGGACUCGCGUCCGAUUAGCCAGUCGGCGGGGUAACGGCCCACCAAAGCGACGAUCGGUAGCCGGACUGAGAGGUUGAACGGCCACAUUGGGACUGAGACACGGCCCAGACUCCUACGGGAGGCAGCAGUGGGGGAUAUUGCGCAAUGGGGGAAACCCUGACGCAGCAACGCCGCGUGAAGGAUGAAGGUUUUCGGAUUGUAAACUUCUUUUAUUUAGGACGAACAAUGACGGUACUAAAUGAAUAAGCUCCGGCUAACUACGUGCCAGCAGCCGCGGUAAUACGUAGGGAGCAAGCGUUAUCCGGAUUUACUGGGUGUAAAGGGUGCGUAGGCGGCUUGGUAAGUCAGAUGUGAAAUGUAUGGGCUCAACCCAUGCACUGCAUUUGAAACUAUUGAGCUUGAGUGAAGUAGAGGUAGGCGGAAUUCCCCGUGUAGCGGUGAAAUGCGUAGAGAUAGGGAGGAACACCAGUGGCGAAGGCGGCCUACUGGGCUUUAACUGACGCUGAGGCACGAAAGCGUGGGUAGCAAACAGGAUUAGAUACCCUGGUAGUCCACGCUGUAAACGAUGAUUACUAGGUGUGGGGGGUCUGACCCCUUCCGAAACGGAGUUAACACAAUAAGUAAUCCACCUGGGGAGUACGUAUAAGGGGUUGCAACUCAAAGGAAUUGACGG
RNAcentral lists this ribosomal RNA (868 nucleotides) under uncultured bacterium. Its description in RNAcentral is "bacterial SSU rRNA". It matches the Rfam family "Bacterial small subunit ribosomal RNA", at positions 50 to 916 of the family's 1533-position model. The record is from RNAcentral.